Molecule: long non-coding RNA, 804 nt
Organism: Anneissia japonica
Lineage: Eukaryota; Metazoa; Echinodermata; Crinoidea; Comatulida; Comatulidae
Exons: 4
Source: RefSeq, a predicted model, not a curated record
GACAAUGUGUGAAUGUGAUGUGCCCAUGUGAAAAUACUGUAGUAACAAUUAGUAGUUGUCAUUUCAGAUGGAUCGACUUGUCCCGAUCCUGGCCAACCCAGCAAUGGGUACCGAGUUGGUGACAUAUUCGAGCCUGGAUCAUCAGUCAGUUUCAAGUGCGAUGACGGUUACUACUUGGUAGGAAACACGCCUCUCUAUUGUUUAGCAACAGCGACAUGGCAUAAGGAUACACCAGUGUGCCAAGCAAACCAGGCAUCAGGCUAUAGUUCAGGUACUGUAGCCACGGCGGCUAUCGUUCCAGUCGUUAUUAUUGGUGUUUGUAUACUUAUCGUUGCAUCCUUACUUCACCGUCACAGAAUUAAAAAUCAAUGGCGACGGGCUGUUGAAAAACAUAAACAUCACGAACAGACAUCCGGGUCCCGUCUAAGCAGCAUCAGCGGAUUUUCAUUCCGCUACAGUCAUAGGCCUACAACAGGUGACGACAGCCCUGAGAAAAAUUACGGCACAAUUUCCAUCGGUUCGGAAGAGAACCUUUGAUUUGAAUCGGAAGAGAAUAUUUAAUAUACGUCAGCAACGUAAUAUUGCUGGGGAGAUAAUAAACAUAAUCAACAUAGGCCUAGCAAUACACUGUAUAAAUAUUUGUUGCUAAUUUUCAAUUGAAUAUUAGGAAGUGAACAUAAUUUCUUUUAAAAUAAAGCCAGCGUUUUCCAUACAAUUGCUACACAUUAUUGCCGACAGCUGAUUGGUCGGUCAAAUAAGGGAGCCCUCCCAAUUGCGUCGGGGACUAAUAUAUAUAUAUAUAUA